RNAcentral lists this long non-coding RNA (334 nucleotides) under Brassica napus (rape). Its description in RNAcentral is "long non-coding RNA (BNAP_LNC022608)". The record is from RNAcentral. Lineage: Eukaryota; Viridiplantae; Streptophyta; Magnoliopsida; Brassicales; Brassicaceae.
UGUGUGCUAAAAUGCUGUGUUCUUAUAUAGGACCAUUUCUUUUUUCUUUCUUUUUCGAAAUCUUUGUUGAAGACCUUUAAUUUGAAUUUGGAUUGAUAAUCUAUAGAAUGAGCUUUGUAAAUUUCUCUUAUUUUAUAGAGCCUAUGAAUUUGCACUACAUAACCUAAAAAGAAACUUUAAUUAGCUAUAUGGAAAUCUACUGUAUUACUUUUAUAGAUCUCAAAUGUAUCUUUACAAAAUAGAUGAUGAAUUAAAAAAUAACUUAAAAAUCUCUUAUUUUUUUCCACAAAAACUUUACGAGUUCUUGCCUCGUCUUUUUGAUUCACAGACAUUU